Molecule: ribosomal RNA, 487 nt
Filed under: uncultured bacterium
Lineage: Bacteria
Description: partial 16S ribosomal RNA
Rfam family: Bacterial small subunit ribosomal RNA
Source: RNAcentral
GAUGAACGCUAGCGAUAGGCUUAACACAUGCAAGUCGAGGGGCAGCACAAGGUAGCUUGCUAUCUGGGUGGCGACCGGCGCACGGGUGCGUAACGCGUAUGCAACUUGCCCUAUACAGGAGGAUAACCCGUCGAAAGACGGACUAAUACUGCGUAUGCUCACAACUUGGCAUCAAGUGGUGAGGAAAGAAAUUCGGUAUAGGAUAGGCAUGCGUCCCAUUAGCUUGUUGGUGAGGUAACGGCUCACCAAGGCAACGAUGGGUAGGGGAACUGAGAGGUUUAUCCCCCACACUGGUACUGAGACACGGACCAGACUCCUACGGGAGGCAGCAGUGAGGAAUAUUGGUCAAUGGGCGCGAGCCUGAACCAGCCAAGUCGCGUGAAGGAUGACUGUCUUAUGGAUUGUAAACUUCCUUUAUACGGGAAUAACAAGAGUCACGUGUGACUCCCUGCAUGUACCGUAUGAAUAAGCAUCGGCUAACUCCGUG